RNAcentral lists this long non-coding RNA (904 nucleotides) under Sus scrofa (pig). Its description in RNAcentral is "lncRNA (ENSSSCG00070005211.1)". The record is from RNAcentral. Lineage: Eukaryota; Metazoa; Chordata; Mammalia; Artiodactyla; Suidae.
GAGGGGUCCGGACAACUCAUUUUUUUCAUGUGCUGAUCCUGCAUGUCAUUAGUAUCCUCAUAUAUAAAUAUUUUGCGAUUACCCAGACCAUCUGGCAACGAGGCUGCGAGGAAAUCUUAAUGAUAUUGGACAUAUUGUUUUUCCCGGUGUACAAGGUAGAGUUGAAAGAUGCAAGUGGUGUUUCUGAUCACUUUCCUUUUGGUCUCAGCUCACUGCACACCAUGGAAACCACCGAUCAACAGAGCGACUACCAGAGCCCCCAUGCUGCCGUCACCACCGAGAACAGAAAUUGCUCCUCCUCUGACUCCGAGGCCCCCAGGCCCUUUCACCCCAGACAGACGGGGAGACACGUGAUUCAUGAAGUUCUGCAGGGAUUUCAGAGCGAAAGGCAGCUUCUUCCCCCGCAUCCACACCACAGCUGACGAUCCAACACAGCAGCUCUCUGCUCCGUGUCCCACAAGGGACCCUCUUCUGUAUCCUGGCUAAAAUGGCACUUCAUUAAAAAUGUUUCUGUCACUACGAUAUUCCCAAGUGGAAUGAUAUUUCCCAUCAUUAUCAGCCUUUAAAGAGAGAUGGGGAAAACGAGCAAAGGAAUCGAGGGAACAGGAUCUCUUUUUUCCUGGGAAGCCCUAGGCGUAGCUAAAAAUCAAGAGGUCCUAUGACAAAGGAAGAGGGCAAGAGGAUACUGGGGUGGUGGUGGGUGACAGGACUGUCUCCAGGUGACAUCCAAGCCCUUGAGAGACCACUGGGAUGUUUCCAGCAAGAGGAGAUGGUAUUCUGACCCUUUUAACUGGGACAGAAAUUUGAUGAAGCUCAGGGGAAAUGCACCUAAAAUUUCCCCUUGUCUUAUUUGGGAGGCAGAGUUAGCAGUUUCUCCCUAAUCACAGAUGUGCAAAGAAAAGGG